Long non-coding RNA from Carya illinoinensis, 1279 nucleotides. RefSeq lists it as uncharacterized. Lineage: Eukaryota; Viridiplantae; Streptophyta; Magnoliopsida; Fagales; Juglandaceae. The record is from RefSeq and is a predicted model, not a curated record. The transcript has 2 exons.
CCACCCCCUCUCGCUCUCUCUCUUUCUCUCUCUCUCUCAAUAUACAGAUGGAGCCAAAAGGAUUUAAACAGUUCUAAAAACAGUCUCAUCGGUACCUUACCUAUUAAUAUCGCAGCCUGUCCCUCCCAGAGAGAGAUUCCCUCAUUAAUGGCGGUUGGUCUUCCUGGUUCGGUAAGACAUGAGUGAGAGGGCAUCACCAUCGUGGGCGAUCCCUUUGUUGGGAGCAGAGAUCUUGAUCUCUAGGGCCCCCCCUCUUCACUUUGAACAAGGGCACCCCAUUUUUAUCCCAGAAAGUCUGUUUUACCCAGGUAUAGUAGUAGCAUAUUUUGGUUCUAGGUUUAGGUUAUUUUGACUUUCUACUGGCUUUCUUGGCUCAAUUGGGCGCCUCCAACAAGUUGGCUGACGAUGAAACUCGAUGCCUCUGGCAUUACAGUUUACAAAAAGAAGAGUGAAAUAAAUGGAGGGGGGAAUUAUGGAUUUAAAUGCUCUGGCCCAGCUUUCUGGUUUGGUAGUCGCAGUUUUUAAUGCUCAUGCAGACCCCCCCUUCAAUUCGCCUCUUAAAUCCCACCCCAGAUAUUCCAACCUCUCUCACACACACCAAAUUCAAAGCUAGCUUUCUUUACCCAUGAGUUUCCCUCUCUAGCUUUCUGGUAUUUUUGGCGUUCUUCUUGCUGGCUUCUAUUUUUCUUCUCUAUAAUUACCAGAUCUUUUCAGUUUGAUCCUCCAAGUACUGGUUUAGUUUUCACAUGUUUCUUUCGUGCGUUCACUUGUUGAAGAUCAAGAGUAUCUCAUCAUCAUGUGAAAUGGCUACUUUGAUAUUGGCCUGGCUCACUCAGACGAAAAAGAUGAACUUUGCGAAACCUCAAGAGUACUGCUGAUCAUCUUUUUUCAUUUCUGAUUGAGCCGUGCCAAUAUCUCAGUGCUCUUUCAUUUCUUUCAGACCAACCGAGAAGAUCACCGAUCAGAUGAUGAUCAUGGGGAAGCCUUUUGCGCGCGCGCACUGAAGAUGGAUGCUAGUCAUGAGAUCAAGUACAAAUCAUAACACUUUUUAGCUAAACUUACGUGCGUAUGCAGCUAGGAAAAGUUAUAAUCGAGUGGGAACUGAGGACUUUUGCCUCGUUUAUUUUGUGAAAGUUAACAAAUUAAACGGCAAGACGCAGAAGCUUUUAGGCUACACGAUAAUCUGCUUGAUAUGAUGAUCGAUCUCAUGAAAUCUUUGGAAUCUUAUAUAUGUAUGUUACUUGUUAUAUAUUAUUAUGCAGCUAAAUCUAUUAAUUAA